GAGUUUGAUCCUGGCUCAGGAUGAACGCUGGCGGUCUGCUUAACACAUGCAAGUCGAACGGGAGUAGAAAUACUCCAGUGGCGGACGGGUGAGUAACGCGUGAGAAUCUACCUUCUGGUCGGGGACAACCACUGGAAACGGUGGCUAAUACCGGAUAUGCCGCAACGUGAAAGAUUUAUCGCCAGAAGAGGAGCUCGCGUCUGAUUAGCUAGUUGGUAGGGUAAAAGCCUACCAAGGCAUCGAUCAGUAGCUGGUCUGAGAGGACGAUCAGCCACACUGGGACUGAGACACAGCCCAGACUCCUACGGGAGGCAGCAGUGGGGAAUUUUCCGCAAUGGGCGAAAGCCUGACGGAGCAAGACCGCGUGAGGGAAGAAGGCUCUUGGGUCGUAAACCUCUUUUGUUAGGGANNAACACAAUGACGGUACCUAACGAAUCAGCCUCGGCUAACUCCGUGCCAGCAGCCGCGGUAAUACGGAGGAGGCAAGCGUUAUCCGGAAUUAUUGGGCGUAAAGCGUCCGCAGGUGGCGAUUCAAGUCUGCGGUCAAAGACUGGGGCUUAACCCUGGAAAGGCCGUGGAAACUGAAGAGCUAGAGUGCAGUAGGGGUAGAGGGAAUUCCCGGUGUAGCGGUGAAAUGCGUAGAGCUCGGGAAGAACAUCGGUGGCGAAAGCGCUCUGCUGGACUGCAACUGACACUCAGGGACGAAAGCUAGGGGAGCGAAUGGGAUUAGAUACCCCAGUAGUCCUAGCCGUAAACGAUGGAUACUAGGUGUGGCUUGUAUCGACCCGAGCCGUGCCGUAGCUAACGCGUUAAGUAUCCCGCCUGGGGAGUACGCACGCAAGUGUGAAACUCAAAGGAAUUGACGGGGGCCCGCACAAGCGGUGGAGUAUGUGGUUUAAUUCGAUGCAACGCGAAGAACCUUACCAGGGCUUGACAUGUCGCGAAUCUCUUGGAAACGAGAGAGUGCCUUCGGGAGCGCGAACACAGGUGGUGCAUGGCUGUCGUCAGCUCGUGUCGUGAGAUGUUGGGUUAAGUCCCGCAACGAGCGCAACCC
RNAcentral lists this ribosomal RNA (1054 nucleotides) under uncultured bacterium. RNAcentral describes it as "bacterial SSU rRNA". It matches the Rfam family "Bacterial small subunit ribosomal RNA", at positions 9 to 1104 of the family's 1533-position model. The record is from RNAcentral.